This 460-nucleotide ribosomal RNA is filed under the name uncultured bacterium. RNAcentral's name for it is "partial 16S ribosomal RNA". It matches the Rfam family "Bacterial small subunit ribosomal RNA", at positions 338 to 795 of the family's 1533-position model. The record is from RNAcentral.
CCUACGGGAGGCAGCAGUGAGGAAUAUUGGUCAAUGGGCGAGAGCCUGAACCAGCCAAGUAGCGUGAAGGAUGACUGCCCUAUGGGUUGUAAACUUCUUUUAUAAGGGAAUAAAUUGCUGCACGUGUGCCAUUUUGUAUGUACCUUAUGAAUAAGGAUCGGCUAACUCCGUGCCAGCAGCCGCGGUAAUACGGAGGAUCCGAGCGUUAUCCGGAUUUAUUGGGUUUAAAGGGUGCGUAGGUGGGUUUUUAAGUCAGUUGUGAAAGUUUGCGGCUCAACCGUAAAAUUGCAGUUGAAACUGGCAGCCUUGAGUACAGUUGAGGUAGGCGGAAUGCGUGGUGUAGCGGUGAAAUGCUUAGAUAUCACGAAGAACUCCGAUUGCGAAGGCAGCUCACUAAACUGCAACUGACACUGAUGCUCGAAAGUGUGGGUAUCAAACAGGAUUAGAUACCCGUGUAGUC